This 74-nucleotide transfer RNA is filed under the name Marmota monax (woodchuck). It matches the Rfam family "tRNA". From Rfam's summary of the family: Transfer RNA (tRNA) molecules are approximately 80 nucleotides in length. Their secondary structure includes four short double-helical elements and three loops (D, anti-codon, and T loops). The record is from Rfam by way of RNAcentral. Lineage: Eukaryota; Metazoa; Chordata; Mammalia; Rodentia; Sciuridae.
UGGGAUGUAGCUCAGCUGUAUAUAGUGCUCACCUUGCAUGUGGAAGGCACUGGGUUCGAUCCUCAGCACCACAU